AGCCCCUGGAACUCUGGCCCAAGGCUCUCUGAUUGACACUUUCCCAGAUCUUCUAGGCUUAGCAGCUGAAGACUGACACUGCCCGAUCGCCUCGGAAGCCUGCAGGACCAUCACAGACCCUCUGGGUAACUCUCACAGUGGAGGGACCUGGACUAGAGUGAGACCAGGUAGGUGCCUAUGGCACAGAAUAUAAGUGAGAUCCAUGUACACGGAUCCACUUAUUCAGAGAUGUGUCCAAGGCACCUUAUUUGCCUCACCCUAAUCCUGACCCUUCUCUGGAAUCUGUUCUCAGCCUGCGAUUUGUUUUAACAAAUAGAAUGUGUUGGAAGUGACGCUGUGCUUGUUCUGGGUCUAAGUCUUAUGAAUGCCUAGAAGCCACUAUUUUGUGCUCUUGGGAAUGUUGAGUCUUCUAAGAAAUCCAGUCAUACUACUGUUGAAAGCACAUGGAGAUACAAAGUGGACACUUCAUGUGGAAUAGGAGAAGCUCUGAGACUAGAGGAGCAGAGGAA
Molecule: long non-coding RNA, 509 nt
Filed under: Pongo abelii (Sumatran orangutan)
Lineage: Eukaryota; Metazoa; Chordata; Mammalia; Primates; Hominidae
Description: lincRNA
Source: RNAcentral